CUAGAUGGGAAUAAGAGGCAGAGCUAGACGGGAGCAGGCUACAGCAGGAGGAUGAGCUGCUGCAGCUUCGGCCAGCCAGGCUUCCUUAGACAUAUGCCAGUUAGAGUCUCCGGAAUCCUGAGUUACAGACAUAUGCCAGUUAGAGUCUCCGGAAUCCUGAGUUACAGAAAGGAAAGCUGCAAGCCUGUCAGACAGAUUGCUGUGUGUGGGAGAGACUUGUGCAGAGCUUAUGCUGUGAUUAAGCAGUGUAAUAUAAGGUAAAAACCAUCUUCAUGAUGAUAUAUCUGAGUUUCUCAUCUCUCUCUGGCUACAUUUUUUACACCCCAAGAAAGUUUGUGUGCAACUGUGAUCCUGUCUGCAAUGCAACACCCCCUCUGCUAAGAUUGCUGGACAUGCUAGAGCACAGCUCCCCUUGUGCCAGCUGAUAUAGUGUGUAGUGUCCAAGAGCAUUAUUGACAAGGUCUGUAGUCAGAGCCUUGGCCUGCAUUUGUUAGGAAUGCAUUUGAAGGAUGUAAUUUCAAGGAUACAGUUAAAACCGGAGUUUGACCUGGAUUUGGACUACUCUAUAAUCCAAAAUGAAACAAUUUGACCAACACUGCAGCUCAGGAUCAUUAUGUGGCUUUUCCUCACCUCUUCCAUGAGAACACCAGGGCCAGGCCUAUUACCCCUCCAGUUAAGAACAUCAGGACUGCCCCCUGGCCUCCCCUCAAGGUGAGCAAAAAGAUGUGGAGGGAGAGUACCAGGACUGGCUCAGUAGGGACAUUAGUGUGCUACCCACAUUCUCAAACCCACCUGUACUGCUCCCUUAAGACCAGGACAUUUAUAAUUUUAGCAAAAUAAUGUUACCCCAAUUUUCCCCCUUCCGUUGGUUACCUUAAAAUGUAUUCUUACCAUAAGUUUUUUGGCGUUUCACAGCGCACUUCCACCCACUGUGUGCUACUGUAACCCAGUAAUGUGUACCUCCACUGACUGCACACCCUGCCAGCAGCAACCUACUCAGUGCAUGCCAGAUGGUUACCUCGGAUGGUUCCUCCACGGGCAGGAUGUAUUUCAUGUGGAUCUUUCUGUACAGGGUAUAUCAUUCUACAAACAAGUGUCAGUUUUCCCAUAUAUGCAUUGAGACCUUAUAUGGCUCACCUCCAAAAGUGUGAUCUGCAUAGUCCACCCAACAUGGCUGCCUCAUCUGGUGUGCUUGUGGAUGGGAUGAACUGACUGUAUUUUUGGGACUCUACUCUAAGCGUUAAGAUUCUGCAAUCAUCCCAUUUUGUGUCAUCUCUUCAAGGGGUCGACUAUUCCACCCAGGGUAAUCCUACACAGUGCGCCCAAGAUGGCUGCCUCACUUGGUACCUUGUGAGGGUGGAAUACACAAUCUGUGGAAGUGUUUACCUGAAAUGCCUGCACCAACCCUGCACUGUGCUUAUAUUGCACUCUACAUUUUCUUUUUUAUGUCUGUAUGGCUUGUCUGUUGCUGUAUACUUAAGUCUGUAAAGUGUCUUGAGUACUGUUGGAGAAAGAGUGCUAUGUAAAUAAAAUUAUUAUUAUUGUUGUUAUUAU
Pseudophryne corroboree (corroboree frog) is the source of this 1554-nucleotide long non-coding RNA. RefSeq lists it as uncharacterized. The transcript is spliced from 5 exons. Lineage: Eukaryota; Metazoa; Chordata; Amphibia; Anura; Myobatrachidae. The record is from RefSeq and is a predicted model, not a curated record.